GCGCCCGUAGCCCAGAGGAUAAGGCGUCAGCCUCCGAAGCUGAAGAUCGCUGGUUCGAUUCCAGCCGGGCGUACCA
This 76-nucleotide transfer RNA is filed under the name Desulfobacula sp. RNAcentral describes it as "tRNA-Arg". It matches the Rfam family "tRNA". Rfam says of the family: Transfer RNA (tRNA) molecules are approximately 80 nucleotides in length. Their secondary structure includes four short double-helical elements and three loops (D, anti-codon, and T loops). Further hydrogen bonds mediate the characteristic L-shaped molecular structure. tRNAs have two regions of fundamental functional importance: the anti-codon, which is responsible for specific mRNA codon recognition, and the 3' end, to which the tRNAs corresponding amino acid is attached (by aminoacyl-tRNA synthetases). tRNAs cope with the degeneracy of the genetic code in two manners: having more than one tRNA (with a specific anti-codon) for a particular amino acid; and 'wobble' base-pairing, i.e. permitting non-standard base-pairing at the 3rd anti-codon position. RNAcentral also lists the same sequence under 2 other names. Lineage: Bacteria; Pseudomonadati; Thermodesulfobacteriota; Desulfobacteria; Desulfobacterales; Desulfobacteraceae. The record is from RNAcentral.